AAGCCUUGUAUAAUGGAGAGGGUUACCUUUAGAAGAGGCCACUUGGGAAAAUACCCGGGAAUUACUUGACAGAUUUGCUGCUACCAACCUUGAGGACAAGGUUUCUCUUCAUGGGGAGGGUAAUGUUACGAUUCGAAGAUCACAAAGAGUGCCUAAGAAUAGAUAUAUGGAAUAAGUGGAUCUGCCAACGUGGACUUUUCUAUUGCCUAGUAUAUUUUCUUUUGUUAUUUCCUUUUAUUAGAGCAGGUAGUAUUCCC
This 257-nucleotide long non-coding RNA is filed under the name Ricinus communis (castor bean). Its description in RNAcentral is "long non-coding RNA (RCOM_LNC001272)". Lineage: Eukaryota; Viridiplantae; Streptophyta; Magnoliopsida; Malpighiales; Euphorbiaceae. The record is from RNAcentral.